RNAcentral lists this ribosomal RNA (496 nucleotides) under uncultured bacterium. RNAcentral's name for it is "partial 16S ribosomal RNA". It matches the Rfam family "Bacterial small subunit ribosomal RNA", at positions 30 to 523 of the family's 1533-position model. The record is from RNAcentral.
AUUGAACGCUGGCGGAAUGCUUUACACAUGCAAGUCGAACGGUAGAGGGGGCAACCCCUCGAGAGUGGCGAACGGGUGAGUAAUAUAUCGGAACGUGCCCAGUCGUGGGGGAUAACGUAGCGAAAGUUACGCUAAUACCGCAUACGAUCUACGGAUGAAAGCGGGGGAUCGCAAGACCUCGCGCGAUUGGGGCGGCCGAUAUCAGAUUAGGUAGUUGGUGGGGUAAAGGCUCACCAAGCCAACGAUCUGUAGCUGGUCUGAGAGGACGACCAGCCACACUGGAACUGAGACACGGUCCAGACUCCUACGGGAGGCAGCAGUGGGGAAUUUUGGACAAUGGACGCAAGUCUGAUCCAGCCAUUCCGCGUGCAGGAUGAAGGCCCUCGGGAUGUAAACUGCUUUUGUACGGAACGAAAAGGUCUCUCUUAAUACGGGGGGCUCAUGACGGUACCGUAAGAAUAAGCACCGGCUAACUACGUGCCAGCAGCCGCCGCCG